GUGCUUGCUUUGGCAGCACAUAUACUAAAAUUGGAAUGAUACAGAGAAGAUCAGCACUGCCCCUGCUCAAGGAUGACAUGCAAAUUUGUGAAGAGUUCCACAUUUUU
Molecule: small nuclear RNA, 107 nt
Filed under: Bos taurus (domestic cattle)
Lineage: Eukaryota; Metazoa; Chordata; Mammalia; Artiodactyla; Bovidae
Also listed under: 1 other name
Source: RNAcentral